Molecule: unclassified non-coding RNA, 263 nt
Filed under: plant metagenome
Description: partial contains small subunit ribosomal RNA, internal transcribed spacer 1, and 5.8S ribosomal RNA
Source: RNAcentral
UUUCCGUAGGUGAACCUGCGGAAGGAUCAUUAUUGUAUAACCGAGGUGCGAGGGCUGUCGCUGACCCGAAAGGUCGUGCACGCCCGAGUGCCCUCACACACAUCCACCUCACCCCUAUGUGCACCACCGCGUGGGUCCCCCUUUGGCUUGUUCGGAGGGGGGCUUACGUUUUCACACAAACUUUGUAUGCAGUGUAGAAUGUACUUUUUGUUUUUGCGAUCACGCAAUCAAUACAACUUUCAACAACGGAUCUCUUGGCUCUC